Molecule: long non-coding RNA, 1522 nt
Filed under: Cricetulus griseus (Chinese hamster)
Lineage: Eukaryota; Metazoa; Chordata; Mammalia; Rodentia; Cricetidae
Description: lncRNA (ENSCGRG00015036848.1)
Source: RNAcentral
UGUAAUUUCUCUAUUUCCAGGAAUUUCCCCUCUCACAUUUCUUUCAGGCCCGGUGAGCUCUGGAUUCUGCACCCUGGCACAUCAGCCACGGGGGAAGAUGUGGGUUGCAUCAGAGUCCUCCGGGUGCUCUCCCUGCUGGGUCCCAGAGACCUCUGCCUUAAAGUUUUCAUUGCCAUCCUUCCUCAGGUCUGGAGAUAUGAGGAAACACAUGACCCUGCUAUCUGGUCCUCAGAAAGAACCUUAGUAAGUAACGCAAAAUCCUCCAAGUCAUACUGACUCCGCCUAGGGACCCACUUCUAUCACCAACUGCACUGUGAGGCAAUGAUAGCAGACCGGAGAGCCCUCCUCUGUGACUCCAGGCAAGCUGUUUAGCUUUUUAAAGUAUUGAAAUCUAUUACCUUGUCAGCAAAAUGGACUUUAAAGCUUUGCUGUGAUAACCAACACAAUGUACCUAGUGUGAAAUAGACACAGUAACUGGCAUUUGGUGCUGCAUUGUUACCAUGUGACCUUUGUUCGGAGCAAUCUUUCUGAACUUGCUGCUUCUCUCCAAAGGCUGGAAGUAGUAAUAAUUACCUCUCAGGGUGGUUAUAAGGAUUAUAUUUAUGAAGAUUACAAGGUGUAUAUGCAAAAUGCCUGGCCUAGUGUCUGACAGACAGUAGGCACUUGAUCUUUGGGUGGGUUUUGUUUUUGUUUUUGGUUUGGGUUUUUGUUUUUCCUUCUUCCUCUGAGAACUACCUCCACCACAAUCCAGGUUAAGGGUCUGGCACUUCUAUCACAACCGUUCAGCUAAAAGCCAAACAAUCUGUUCCUGGAGUUGUCUUUUGAAACUGCCUGAAGGUCUUUAAAAUCCCCUACCUGAUGAGCUUUCUGCCUACACCCAUAAAAGGAAAAGCUGUCAGCUCACCGUGGAGACAUCGGGAAAGAAGCAGACAGUUGCAGGAUCCAGAAGUCAACACUAGAGGGAGCAAUAAGCUCGGGAAAGUGGUGAGGGCCACACCCAAAAAUCUCAGCACUCUCCUGGUUCCUGGGGCUCAGGUCCAAGAAAAGAAUAGAAGGAUUAACAGUUGCCCAAAAAGACCUUCGUGAAGACAAAAGAUGCGAGGGGGAUGCGAAAGCAGGGAUAAAACACCAUCCCUUCGGCUGCGGCCCAUGUCUGGUCUUUGAGAGUGGUAUACCAUGUGUAUGCCUGGUGCCUGGGAGGCCAGAAGAGGAUGUCAGGUUCUCUGGAACUGGAAUUGUAAGCUACCAUGUGGGUGCUGAAAAUGAAAUCUUGGUCCUCUUGUAAAGUAGUUAGUGUUCUUAACUGCUAAGCUAUCUCUCCAGGUCCCAUAAAUCAAAAAAUGUUAUUGCAUUUAUUCGUGUGUGUGUGUGUGUGUGUGUGUGUGUGUGUGUGUGUGUGUGUGUGUGUGUGUGUGCAUUGCCAUGAUUUGGGUGUAGAAGUUAAGAGACAAUCUGUGGACGUUCAUUCUUUUCUUCCACCAUGUGGGUUCUGGCCCCACGCUUGGCAGCAGGUGCCUUUGCC